Esox lucius (northern pike) is the source of this 4207-nucleotide RNA transcript. It is a transcript of the gene named protein kinase D1, with no coding region annotated. The record is from RefSeq and is a predicted model, not a curated record. The transcript is spliced from 19 exons. Lineage: Eukaryota; Metazoa; Chordata; Actinopteri; Esociformes; Esocidae.
GUCUAUCUUUUUCCCCCCAAUAUUUCUCUGGUUUCUAUCAUCGUUAUUUUUAUAUAAAAAUAUAUAUCGAAUUUUAUUCAUAUUCAUGACACGGUCGAAGAUUUAAUGUUUUGAUUUAAUGUUGUUACUUUGCUGUUAGAGAACUACGUAUAUUUAAUCACCUAUGUCGAGUCGAUAUUGUUUUGACACCCGGGAGAUUCAUAUGAGUGUUCCACCCGUGAUCCGCCCGCCGAGCCCCCUGUCCCCGGGGUCCAAUGGCAUCUCGUUCCAGAUCCAGAUCGGGCUGAGCCGUGAGCCCGUUCUGUUGGACUCAGUCGACUUCAGCCUCGCUCAAGUCCGGGAAAUGGCAUGUUCCAUCGUGGACCAAAAGUUGCCUGAGUGUGGUUUCUAUGGCAUGUUUGACAAGAUCCUGCUGUUUCGCCAUGACCCGGGAUCAGAGAACAUCCUUCAACUGGUGAGAUGUGCUGCAGACAUCACAGAGGGGGACCUGGUGGAGGUAGUCCUGUCAGCCUCUGCCACAGUGGAGGAUUUCCAGAUCCGUCCCCAUUCCUUGUUUGUCCACUCGUACCGGGCCCCGGCCUUCUGUGACCACUGUGGAGAGAUGCUGUGGGGGCUUGUGAGACAGGGCCUCAAGUGUGAAGGUUGUGGUCUGAACUACCACAAGCGCUGUGCCUUUAAAAUCCCAAACAACUGCAGCGGCAUCCGCAAGCGAAGAUUGUCCAAUGUGUCUUUGACCGGCUUGACCAACCUGACCCCUACGCGGUCCAAUGAGCCUUCGCCUUUCACCUCUGAUGAAGCCUUACUGUCUCCUGUGAGUCCAGGCAUGGAGGUCAACUCUCUGACUGAUCUACCCUGCUACGUUCCGCAGCAGAAGUCCCAGUCGGAUGUCUUUCCCGGCAGAGAGAGAAGGUCCUCCUCGUACAUUGGCAGGCCCAUAGAGUUAGACAAAAUCCUCCUGUCCAAAGUCAAGGUGCCUCAUACCUUUGUCAUCCACUCCUACACGCGUCCCACUGUCUGCCAGCACUGCAAGAAGCUCCUCAAAGGCCUGUUCCGUCAAGGCCUGCAAUGCAAAGACUGCAAAUUCAACUGUCAUAAACGAUGUGCGCCCAAAGUGCCAAACAAUUGCCUUGGAGAAGUGUCCAAAAAUGGAGAACUUCUGAGCCCAGGGGCGGAGUCUGAAGCAGCGAUGGGGGAGGGUUGUGAUGAAAGUGACCGGAACAGUGGUCUCAUGGAUGACCUGGAAGAAGCCAUGGUGCCUGACUCUGGCCUGCUGGAGGCUGACCACGGGGAAAUGGGAGACCUCCACGAUCCGGAGGACGACUCCAAUAAGGCAAUAAGCCCGUCUACUAGCAACAAUAUCCCACUAAUGCGAGUGGUCCAGUCUGUCAAACAAACCAAGAGGAAAAACAGCAAUGUGAUGAAGGAAGGUUGGCUAGUACACUACACCAGUAAAGACACCCUGAGGAAAAGACACUACUGGAGGCUGGACAGCAAAUGCAUCACACUUUUCCAGAAUGACACAGGAAGCAAAUACUACAAGGAAAUCCCAUUGUCAGAGGUGUUGUCCUUGGACCCAGCAAAGACCUUUAACCUGCUUUCUGAGGGCUCCAAUGCCCACUGCUUUGAGAUUGCCACUGCCUCCCUGGUCUACUACGUGGGGGAGAACCUGCCGAGGCCUGAGGGCCCGGGGAGUGUGUUGGCCCACAGUAGUAUGCUGGUCAGCGGUGUCGGACCAGAGGUGGCCCGGAUGUGGGAGAUGGCCAUCCAGCACGCGCUCAUGCCUGCCAUCUCAAAAGGACUGUCGCACGGGUCACACCACAGCGGACACAAGGAAGUCUCCAACAGCAUUUCAGUGUCCAACUGCCAGAUUCAAGAGAAUGUGGAUAUCAGCUCAAUCUAUCAGAUAUUCCCAGAUGAGGUUCUUGGAUCGGGGCAAUUUGGAAUAGUUUAUGGAGGAAAGCACAGAAAAACCGGCCGAGAUGUAGCAAUUAAGAUCAUCGACAAGCUACGCUUCCCCACCAAGCAGGAAAGCCAGCUACGCAACGAGGUCGCCAUCCUUCAGAACCUGCACCACCCAGGGGUAGUGAACCUGGAGUGUAUGUUCGAGACGCCAGAGCGUGUCUUCGUUGUCAUGGAGAAGCUCCAUGGAGACAUGCUGGAGAUGAUCCUAUCCAGUGAAAAGGGGAGGCUGCCCGAACGCAUCACCAAGUUCCUGGUCUCGCAGAUUCUUCAGGCUCUUCGCCAUCUCCACUUCAAGAAUAUUGUCCACUGUGACCUGAAACCGGAGAACGUGUUAUUGGCAUCUGCUGAUGCUUUUCCUCAAGUGAAACUCUGCGACUUUGGCUUCGCCCGCAUCAUAGGAGAGAAGUCUUUUCGCCGUUCAGUGGUGGGCACUCCGGCAUACCUGGCCCCUGAGGUCUUAAGGAACAAGGGCUACAACCGCUCCCUGGACAUGUGGUCAGUGGGGGUGAUCAUAUACGUAAGCCUCAGCGGUACCUUCCCGUUCAACGAGGACGAAGACAUUCACGACCAGAUCCAGAACGCUGCCUUCAUGUACCCACCCAACCCCUGGAAAAAGGUGUCACGGGAAGCAAUUGACCUCAUUAAUAACCUGCUGCAAGUCAAGAUGAGGAAGCGCUACAGCGUGGACAAGUCUCUCAGCCAUCCCUGGCUACAGGUAUGCCCUCACUACAGUGCACUGUCCGUACUGCAUGUGGCACAAAUUAGUACAAUUUGUUAUUACUAUUUCUAUCAUUAUUAUUAGUAGCAUCAGUUAAGCUACCUGGGGUCUCAAAAUUUGAGAUUAAACAAAGAUUGUGAAAAGGUUGUGUACUUUAUAUAUCACAACUUGAGAAUAGUUAUUGUGCUUGGAAAAGUCUCUCACCUAUCGUUGACUGUCUGUCAGCUAUCUGUAGCUCCAGUAAGUCUUUUACCUAUCCGUACAUUCAUGUGAAAAAGUAAGUACACCCCCUGGAGGUUUUAAAUGUUUUACAUAUUUGGACAUAUGCAUAUGUAAUAUUUAUUUCAGUGGGAUUAUCAGAAAAAGUCAUCUAAUAUAACAAGUGUCUCUGAAAUGUUGUAAAUGUAAUCAUGUAUUCAUCAAAAAUCAACAUGAUCAUUGUCCUGUUGCUAAAUCCAUGUUCCGUUUCGCCUAACAAUGACAGAUGGUCUCUGUCUUUAGGAAUUCAUGGUUGAUUCAGGCAGCAAAGCAACCCCAAACCAUAAUGCCACCACCUUUAUCCUUGGUAUGAGGUUCUUUUGUUCAAAAGCAGUGUUUUGUUUUUCGCCUAAUAUGGUCGGCCAAACAAAUACACCUUUUACUCAUCUGUUCACAUUGUUCCAGUAGUUUUGAUCUUUAUUCAGGUGUUGUCUGACAAACGUGGGUUGUGUCUUGAUAUUCCUUUUUCAGGGAGGAGACUUCUUUCUUCCUGACCGCCUAUGUAAGCCAAAUUUGUGCAGUCUCUUUCUGACCAUUUUUUUUAUGCACUUAGACAUCGAUUGUGGCAAGAGAGGCCGGUAGAUUCAUUGAUGUUACUCAGGCAUUCUUAGAGACAUCUAUGAGCAUAUUCCAGUCAACUCUUGCGCUGAAUUUGGUGGGACGGCCUGUAGAUUGCCGGGGUCUGUUAUCUUCUCGAUUUGUAGAUGAUCUGUCAGAAGUGGAAUGGUGAAAAUGGUUUUGUAACGCCUCACAGAAUCAUGGGGAUAAAUAGUAUUUUUUGGGGGCCUCGGAUAGGCCUUGGCCCAGGCCAUGAUGUAUUACUACACACCCAUUUGGUUCAAACCAAACCAGGCCAAAUGUCUUACAUUUAUGAAAGGCUAGACCCUCCCAAGUAACUAAAUUUUGGUCCAAAUAAAAGUACUAACUUUUUCCAUGUACAGAAAUUGCAUUUUAUUUUAUUUUAACUGUAUAAACGGUUUCAAAGUGAACUUUUUUGUGCUAUUUGUUAAAUGGGGUUACCUUCAUCAGUGAACAUAAUUGGAGCUGAUUUAGCGCACAUAUCCAUGUGUCGAAAUAUGUACUUACUUUUUUCACAUGUCUACAGAUACAGUAAAUCUCUAACUGCUAUUCAUACCAACCUCCAUAGCGACAGUAGAUGUUUCUGACAUCGGCAGCUACGGACUACCAAAUGUGGCUUGACCUGCGCGGCCUGGAGUGUAAGAUGAAUGAACGCUACAUCACGCACGAGAGCGACGACGCCCGCUGGGA